RNAcentral lists this ribosomal RNA (94 nucleotides) under Acanthosepion pharaonis. Lineage: Eukaryota; Metazoa; Mollusca; Cephalopoda; Sepiida; Sepiidae. The record is from RNAcentral.
UUCCGGCCAUAUCACGUUGAAACACCGGUUCUCGUACGAUCACCGAAGUUAAGCAACGUCAAGCCUGGUCAGUAUCUAGAUAGGUAACCGCUAG